RNAcentral lists this ribosomal RNA (467 nucleotides) under uncultured bacterium. Its description in RNAcentral is "partial 16S ribosomal RNA". It matches the Rfam family "Bacterial small subunit ribosomal RNA", at positions 28 to 506 of the family's 1533-position model. The record is from RNAcentral.
GACGAACGCUGGCGGCGUGCUUAACACAUGCAAGUCGAACGGAAAGGCCCUGCUCUUGUUGGGUGCUUGAGUGGCGAACGGGUGAGUAACACGUGAGUAACCUGCCCUUGACUUUGGGAUAACAUCAGGAAACUCGGGCUCAUACCGGAUAGGAUCUUCUGCUGCAUGGUGGGGGUUGGAAAGUUUCGGUGGUUGGGGAUGGACUCGCGGCUUAUCAGCUUGUUGGUGGGGUAGUGGCUUACCAAGGAUUUGACGGGUAGCCGGCCUGGGAGGGUGACCGGCCACAUAGGGACUGGGGUACGGCCCAGACGCCUACGGGAGGCAGGAGUGGGGAAUAGUGCACAAUGGGCGGAAGCCUGAUGCAGCAACGCCGCGUGCGGGAUGACGGCCUUCGGGUUGUAACCCACUUUCGCCUGUGACGAAGCGUGAGUGACGGUAAUGGGUAAAGAAGCACCGGCUAACUACGU